CAGUCGCCGCGGGAAUACGGAGGGUGCAAGCGUUAUCCGGAUUUAUUGGGUUUAAAGGGUCCGUAGGCGGAUCUGUAAGUCAGUGGUGAAAUCUCACAGCUUAACUGUGAAACUGCCAUUGAUACUGCAGGUCUUGAGUAAAUUUGAAGUGGCUGGAAUAAGUAGUGUAGCGGUGAAAUGCAUAGAUAUUACUUAGAACACCAAUUGCGAAGGCAGGUCACUAAGAUUUAACUGACGCUGAUGGACGAAAGCGUGGGGAGCGAACAGGAUUAGAUACCCGAGUAGUCCCUGUCUCUUAUAC
This 301-nucleotide ribosomal RNA is filed under the name uncultured bacterium. Its description in RNAcentral is "partial 16S ribosomal RNA". It matches the Rfam family "Bacterial small subunit ribosomal RNA", at positions 509 to 807 of the family's 1533-position model. The record is from RNAcentral.